GUUCUGGGUGUGGUCACCGGAGAGUCUGGGAGGCGGGACCCGUCCGUCAAGAUCUACGUCUCCAAUCACAGGACGCGCUUCGAUCACAACGCCAUCGGCCUCAUCGCACCCUGCAGCUCGUCCUCUGUCUCGUGUCCCCCUGGUUUCCUGUGCUGGGCCCGCGGGUUCCUGGAGUUAGGGGCCCCUGGGAGCCGGUCUCAGUUGUUGGAGUCUCUGAAGCACUAUUUGUCCCAGCCGGCGAGUCCUCCACUCCUGCUCUUCCCUGAA
Long non-coding RNA from Nanorana parkeri, 267 nucleotides. RefSeq lists it as uncharacterized. Lineage: Eukaryota; Metazoa; Chordata; Amphibia; Anura; Dicroglossidae. The record is from RefSeq and is a predicted model, not a curated record. The transcript is spliced from 2 exons.